Molecule: ribosomal RNA, 751 nt
Filed under: uncultured eukaryote
Lineage: Eukaryota
Description: bacterial SSU rRNA
Rfam family: Eukaryotic small subunit ribosomal RNA
Source: RNAcentral
UAUUCUGUCAGAGGUGAAAAUCUUGGAGAUAUAGAAGCCUGCUUACUGCGAAAGCAUUUUCCAAAGUGUUUUCAUUAAUCAGUGACACGAAAGUUGGAGGGUCGAGGGGUUUCACAGACGGUAGUAGUCUCAGCACAAAAACACGCCGAGUAGGGAUCGGGCCAUGCUGUUUCUUGUGACUCGUUCGGCCCCUUUAGAGAAAUCAAAGUUUAUGGGUUCUGGGGGGAGUAUGGUUGCAAGGGUGAAAGUCAACGAAAUUGACGGAAGGGCAUUCCCAGGUGAGGAGCUUGAGGUGUAAUCAGUCUAAACACGGGGAAAAUAAGCAGGUCCAGACGAAAUAAGGAGUGACAGACUGAGGGCUUUUUGAUGAUUUAGUAGUUGGUGGUGCAGCGCUGUUUUUAGUUGGUGGAGUGAUUUGUGGCUCCCUCUCCGGAAUGAAAGAGACAUUAACCUUUUAAAUAGGCAGGCUUGGUAAGGCGGGUCGUUGGCUUCUUAGAGGGAUAAUGGGGAAAAGCGGAUGGAGGUUUGAGGCAAUAACAGGUCUGUGAUGCCCUUAGAUGUUAUGAAUCGCACGCGCGCUACCAGGGCAGAGCCAGGGAGUUUUUUUCAUAGGCCGGAAGGUUCAAAAGUUAGGGUUAAAUUCAGUUGUGAGGGGGAUAGAGCAUACGGGUAUCCAUGUUAGUAGGGGAACAUCAAGUAAGUAAAGGUCAUAUAGCAUGAGUUGAAUGCGUGUCUCACAGUAUAACAGACC